Molecule: ribosomal RNA, 2476 nt
Filed under: Listeria monocytogenes
Lineage: Bacteria; Bacillati; Bacillota; Bacilli; Caryophanales; Listeriaceae
Description: partial 23S ribosomal RNA
Rfam family: Bacterial large subunit ribosomal RNA
Source: RNAcentral
CUGAGUACGGCGGAACACGUGAAAUUCCGUCGGAAUCCGGGAGGACCAUCUCCCAAGGCUAAAUACUCCCUAGUGACCGAUAGUGAACCAGUACCGUGAGGGAAAGGUGAAAAGCACCCCGGAAGGGGAGUGAAACAGUUCCUGAAACCGUGUGCCUACAAGUAGUUAGAGCCCGUUAAUGGGUGAUAGCGUGCCUUUUGUAGAAUGAACCGGCGAGUUACGAUUUGUUGCAAGGUUAAGCGGAAAAAGCGGAGCCGUAGCGAAAGCGAGUCUGAAUAGGGCGCAUAAGUAACAGGUCGUAGACCCGAAACCAGGUGAUCUACCCAUGUCCAGGAUGAAGGUAAGGUAAUACUUACUGGAGGUCCGAACCCACGCACGUUGAAAAGUGCGGGGAUGAGGUGUGGGUAGCGGAGAAAUUCCAAUCGAACUUGGAGAUAGCUGGUUCUCUCCGAAAUAGCUUUAGGGCUAGCCUCGAGGUAAAGAGUCAUGGAGGUAGAGCACUGUUUGGACUAGGGGCCCUUCUCGGGUUACCGAAUUCAGAUAAACUCCGAAUGCCAUGUACUUAUACUCGGGAGUCAGACUGCGAGUGAUAAGAUCCGUAGUCGAAAGGGAAACAGCCCAGACCACCAGUUAAGGUCCCCAAAUAUAUGUUAAGUGGAAAAGGAUGUGGGGUUGCUUAGACAACCAGGAUGUUGGCUUAGAAGCAGCCACCAUUGAAAGAGUGCGUAAUAGCUCACUGGUCGAGUGACCCCGCGCCGAAAAUGUACCGGGGCUAAACAUAUUACCGAAACUGUGGAUGAACCUCUUUAGAGGUUCGUGGUAGGAGAGCGUUCUAAGGGCGGUGAAGUCAGACCGGAAGGACUGGUGGAGCGCUUAGAAGUGAGAAUGCCGGUAUGAGUAGCGAAAGAAGGGUGAGAAUCCCUUCCACCGAAUAUCUAAGGUUUCCUGAGGAAGGCUCGUCCGCUCAGGGUUAGUCGGGACCUAAGCCGAGGCCGAUAGGCGUAGGCGAUGGACAACAGGUAGAGAUUCCUGUACCAGUGCUAAUUGUUUAACCGAUGGGGUGACACAGAAGGAUAGGGAAUCGCACGAAUGGAAAUGUGCGUCCAAGCAGUGAGUGUGAGAAGUAGGCAAAUCCGCUUCUCGCGAAGCAUGAGCUGUGAUGGGGAAGGAAAUUAAGUACGGAAGUUCCUGAUUUCACGCUGUCAAGAAAAGCCUCUAGGAAGAGUAGUACUGCCCGUACCGCAAACCGACACAGGUAGAUGAGGAGAGAAUCCUAAGGUGAGCGAGAGAACUCUCGUUAAGGAACUCGGCAAAAUGACCCCGUAACUUCGGGAGAAGGGGUGCUCUAUUAGGGUGCAAGCCCGAGAGAGCCGCAGUGAAUAGGCCCAGGCGACUGUUUAGCAAAAACACAGGUCUCUGCAAAACCGUAAGGUGACGUAUAGGGGCUGACGCCUGCCCGGUGCUGGAAGGUUAAGAGGAGUGCUUAGCUUCGGCGAAGGUACGAAUUGAAGCCCCAGUAAACGGCGGCCGUAACUAUAACGGUCCUAAGGUAGCGAAAUUCCUUGUCGGGUAAGUUCCGACCCGCACGAAAGGCGCAACGAUCUGGGCACUGUCUCAACGAGAGACUCGGUGAAAUUAUAGUACCUGUGAAGAUGCAGGUUACCCGCGACAGGACGGAAAGACCCCGUGGAGCUUUACUGCAACCUGAUAUGGAAUGUUUGUACCGCUUGUACAGGAUAGGUAGGAGCCGAAGAGACGUGUGCGCUAGCAUACGAGGAGGCAAUGGUGGGAUACUACCCUGGCUGUAUGACCAUUCUAACCCGCCACGCUUAGCGCGUGGGGAGACAGUGUCAGGUGGGCAGUUUGACUGGGGCGGUCGCCUCCUAAAGAGUAACGGAGGCGCCCAAAGGUUCCCUCAGAAUGGAUGGAAAUCAUUCGCAGAGUGUAAAGGCACAAGGGAGCUUGACUGCGAGACUGACAAGUCGAGCAGGGACGAAAGUCGGGCUUAGUGAUCCGGUGGUUCCGCAUGGAAGGGCCAUCGCUCAACGGAUAAAAGCUACCCCGGGGAUAACAGGCUUAUCUCCCCCAAGAGUCCACAUCGACGGGGAGGUUUGGCACCUCGAUGUCGGCUCGUCGCAUCCUGGGGCUGUAGUCGGUCCCAAGGGUUGGGCUGUUCGCCCAUUAAAGCGGCACGCGAGCUGGGUUCAGAACGUCGUGAGACAGUUCGGUCCCUAUCCGUCGCGGGCGCAGGAAAUUUGAGAGGAGCUGUCCUUAGUACGAGAGGACCGGGAUGGACACACCGCUGGUGUACCAGUUGUUCCGCCAGGAGCAUCGCUGGGUAGCUAUGUGUGGCAGGGAUAAACGCUGAAAGCAUCUAAGCGUGAAGCCCCCCUCAAGAUGAGAUUUCCCAUUUCUUCGGAAAGUAAGAUCCCUGAAAGAUGAUCAGGUAGAUAGGUUUGGAGUGGAAGUGUAGCGA